Molecule: RNA transcript, 6203 nt
Organism: Alligator mississippiensis (American alligator)
Lineage: Eukaryota; Metazoa; Chordata; Crocodylia; Alligatoridae
Exons: 3
Source: RefSeq, a predicted model, not a curated record
CUGUAUGCUCAGUGGCUGCUGGGUCUGCAGGGGGCUGGAGAGAUAAGGUGCCCUGAUCAUCACUGGAGGUGGGUUGGAGCUUGGUGGGCUGCUGCCUCUUCCACCUGUUAGGUAUAUAAGGAGCACUAAGUCUCUCACUCCUCUGCCAGCUGCCCAAAUUCUUGAUUUUGUAACCAGACAAGGUUCUUUGGGUAGAUGCCAUAUCUUUUAUUAGACCAACUAAGUAAUUGGAAAUAUUGUUCUUUGCAAGUUUUCAGGCACAAACACCCUUCUUCAGGCAUAGAGAAAGUCUGCUGGUGAAUAGUGUGCUCUCCUGGGUAGAUUUUGUAAUCUGUCUUCAUCGGAGCCUUAAGACUAAUAAAACUCCAGUCAACACUAGCACUGGUAUUGAUUCAUCACACCCAGUUGUUUCCCUGGGCCUCCCUAUUAACUAAGGGGAAAAGAGAGUGAUGACUCUCAUAUUAAAAAGAGACUCUCAUAUUAAAAAGAAAAUUGUGACAUAGAAGGAAAACAUAGUCAGCUAAUGAAAGGAAAAUCAAAAGAACAGCUGCUUCCAGAUAUUAUUUUCAGUCAGGGUUAUCAGCAAGUUUAUUAUAAUUCCUGACAUUUCUUUCCAAGAAGAAAAUGGAUCAAACCUACUAGAUGUAAUUGCAUGAUGGAAAUAAUAUAGCCUGGCUAAUCUCUUUGCCCUUUAGCUGUUCUAUGUGCUAGAAACUCUUGGGUACAGAAGAUGUGUGGUGCUUAAAUCUGUGAAGGCCUUGAUGCAAAGCCCAUGCACAGCACUUGCCUACACAAUUCUUUUAAAGCCAAGUUAGGAACCCCAUUGACCAGUGACUUUUCUGUCACCCUCCAAGAAAGAAGUGAAGCUAGACAAGGGUCAGUUCUGGCCUUCACUCCAGCUUUGCUUUCUGUCCACAAAAGAAAGGGUGUCCCCCCUUACUCUCUGUGCUCUGUCUCAGCCUGAAGCCAGACACUGGGAACAUCUACAUGUGACGCUACACUGCCAUAGUAACAUGCUACAAUGACAUAGUGUCCACAGGCAAAAAACCAUGCUACAGAGACACACUCCCUCAUUAUACUGCAUUGCUACAGCAAUGUAGGGACUAAAAAUAACCAUGUGCCACUGGCACAGAGCAGUACAAGCUGUUAUUGCACCAUCAUUUAAUACUUCCUUUUCAGCUCUUCCAAAGGAAAUACUAAAUGAUGGCACGGUAACAAUGGCGCCAUAGUGGCACAUGUAGAUACGCCCUGUGAGUACUAAUAAAGACUCCAAGUAGCAAGGCUAUUGGGCUACCCUAUGAACAAUGCAGCGGCCCUUCUGAGGAGCACAGAGCAUGGACACCCCUUAGGCAUGAGGCUGAAGUUAGUUCCUGGGUUUUUUUUCAAAGAUAAUCCUCACACAAUUAAAUGUUGUUAGUAGCGAACUACACAGGCUGAAGAGUAUUUCAUCAAAAAUGUAUAUUCUAAUAUAAAAGCCUAAGUCUGUCUGUCUGUCCAUCUGUAAUGCUUUAUUCACACUCUGACUGGCUGACAAACAGUCAAUCAGAGUGUAAACAAACAUUCCAACAAGAGCUGGCAGCAGUGAACCACUGCCAUGAUGGUGGGGACACAGGGACAGAGGGUGAGGGAGCUGCUGGCCCCAGAACAGCGGCAGCAUAGGGUGCUAGGUGGCGGCACUCCAUCCUAGCCCCCUCCGCCUCUCCACACCCCUCGCCCCCCCCAUCAUUCUUGACAGGCAGUUGGCUAGUUUACUAAUAAAAAUGUAAAAUAAUGUCUUGUAUCAAGGACAUAGCCCUGAAAGAAGACCUGCGAUUAGGCUGGGAUUAUGGGGCAAAAUCUCCUUUGGGUCAUCCCAAAACACAUGUCUACACCACCAGGGGACACUUCUGAAUAAGACUGAGCUGGGCGCUGCCUGAUACAAAGCUCAGUUUUGUGUGCCAGUCUGCCCAUUGAUGGCCCCUCAGGCCUGUGUGCAAUGUAUAUAGCACUGAAUAAGGAAUGGUGUUUAGACUGGGAUUACAGGUGAAAAUUCUUUUCAGGUCACCCCAAAGCAAAAGAAUCUUCUGAAGAGUCCUGCCCAACCUGAAGCUCAGUUUGUAAGUGCCAGGCUGCCAGCUCACAAGCCCCCAUAUCUGACAAGGAGCUGGGUUUGAGCUGAAAUUACAGAUGGAAAUCCUUUCCAGAUCUCCCCAAAACAUGUCUCUGGCACCAGGGGACUCUCCCAAGAAGCCUGGGCAGAGUUCUGCCUGACCCAAGCUUGGUUUGUGAGUAUCAGGCUGCCAACUCCCAGGACCCCAGGCCUGAAUAACAGGUUGAAUUUGGGCUCAGAUUACAAGUGAAAAACUUUUUUGGGUCAUGCCAGACCACACGUCACUGGCAUCAGGGCACUCUCCUGAUAAAGUCUGGGCAGAGUCCUGCCCAACCCAAUGCUUGGUUUGUGAGUGCCAUCCUGACAACUGACAAGCCCCAGGCCUAUGUACUCUGUACCUAGCCCUGAAUAUGGAACUGAAAUUGGGCUGGGAUUAGCAAGUAAAAUCCUCUCCAAAUCACCCCAGAACACACAUCUCUACCACCUAGAGACUCUCUUGAAGAAUUCUGAAAGGUCUCUGCCUAAGCCGAAGCUCAGUUUUUGUGUGCCAGCCUCUCAACCGAUGGCCCCCCAGAGCUGUGUACCAUUCACAUAGCACCGAAUUAGAUGAUUUGGGGCUGGGGUCAUGGAUGUGUCACAAAGCACAGGUUGUGCCUGUCACUCAAAGGGGUCUGAGCAGACAGUAAGCAGUCUGCAGGUGGGAGCAGGCCCAAUCAAAUGGUCACAUGUUAGGCAGGAGGUGGAGAGGCUGGGAGCCUGGUAUAAGGUUAGACCCCAGAGCAGAGUGGGCAGUUGCUACAGGGGGCCAAAAGAGCAACAUUACCUAGCUGGCUAGUGCUCUGAGAACAGUUUGGAGGUAAAGGGCAGGAACUCUGGGGAUGGAAGAGGUUCCUGGUCCUGGGGCAUGACCUAAAACUACACCCUGCUGGGGAGGAUGGUAUGGUGGACCUGCUUGUGGCAGGGCAGCUUCCAAGAAAUGCCAUACCUGUGCCUCCCUAGUGAAGGUGCAGGUGCUUCCCUAGUGAAGGUAUGGGGCGCCAAAAAACCUCAACCCCCGUGAAGGAGAAAGGCUAGGGGAGCACAUACCGAGAAAAAAACACAGGUCCCAAGUCCACUGAGUGGGGCCUGAGGCUCACGAAGGAGCCAGGUGUGGAGGUUCCAGAGGUGUGGGAUUGAGGCCCUGGCGUGGGGGAGUCAAGAGAGUCCAGAGCGGGGCAGAGAGCCUGAGAUUGAGUGCAGGGCUAGGAGCCCAGAGUUGGUGGGAGUUGAGGCCCCAGUGUGGGGGCAUGUGAAUUGAGGCCCAGGUGAGUCUGAGGAUGCCUGAGGCCAAGUUUAGGCUGGGCGAGGCCAAGUUUAGGCCGGGUGAGGCUGAGUGAGACCCAGUUAAGGGGCUGGGGGAGUUUUUGCACAUGGAUGCCAGCUGCGAGGCAUGGGGCAUGGUUAAGGGGAGGUUCAGAGCUGUGUAUGCGCCCUUGGCAUAAGGACAAUUAAACAGGCAGCCUCCCACCUGAAAACAACAGACUGAUAUAUCAAAGGCAUAGCAGUUGAGGCAGGUGGGCAGAUUGCCCUAGACAAGUCGGUGGGCCAAUGUCUAGACAAGCCCUGGGACAGCCCUCUUGUUAUAGGGUGGAAAUUCUUUUCAGAGCACCCCAAACCACAUGUCUCUAUCACCAGGGGGACUUUCCUGAAGAAGUCUAGGCAGGACACCACCUAAUCCAAAUCUUGGUUUUUGCAUACCAGCCUGCCAACUGACAGCCCUCGCAUUUCUGUGAUAUGUACGUUCCUGUGAAUAAGGAGCUGAUUUCGGGCUGGGAUUAUGGGGCAAAAUCCUUUUUGGAGCACCCCAAAACAUUCCUCUCCACUACCCAGAGACUCUCUGGAAGAAGCCCGGGCAGGUCCCUGCUUGACCUGAUGUUUGUUUCGUGAGUGCCAGCCUGCCACUCACCCAUCAAUACCUGCAUGCUAGGUACAUUGCCUUAUAUAAGGAAUUUAUUUUGGGUUAGAGUUAUGGGGCAAAACCUUCUUUGGGUCAUCGCAAGCCACACACCUCUGCCAUUGGGGAACUCUCCCUAAAAAGACUGGGCAGAGUCCUCUCCAACCCAAAACUCAGUUUCUGCAUGCCAACCUGACAACUGAAAGCACCCAGGCCUGUGUAAUCAAUGCAUUGCCCUGAAUAAGGAGCUGUGUCUUGGAUCGGAUUAUCAGGCAAAAUCCUUUCUGAGUCACUCCAAAACAUGUCAUCACCUCUGGCAAACUUUGUGGAAAAGCCUGGACACCGCAUUUCCUGACCCAAAGCUUGCUUUUUAUGUGCCAACCUGUCAACUGCCAGCCUCCGGACCUGUGUGCUACUUACAUUGUUAUGAACAAAGAGCUGUUUUAUGCUGAGAUUACAGGGCAAAACCCACUUUGGAUCACCCCAAAUACAGGUUUGUUACAAGGGAAAAAAGGGAGCAAGGAGGCAUCCAGGCAAAACCUUAACUAUUAACUUUUAACUGUAUCUCAGAAUUGAUCAGAGUCAUAGUCAGUGCCAAACCAAUCUGGAGAAUGUCACAACCCAAAGUUGUGAUUUUUUGUUUGUGUGUGUGCUUCGGCACAGCUAAAUUAUUUCCCGCCAAAUUUGUCGCUUUCUUUGCAUGGUGGAGUUCUCUGUUGCUAGAGAACUCUGGUGCAGCGGGGGAUUUCCCGCCGGAUUGCAGCUUCUUUGCAGUGUGCAUCUCUUUCUUGCACUGUAGUGAUACACGUUGCAAAGAAGUUCCCACCAUUUGUAUUAGGGUCCGCGCCAUGUUAUUGGCUGAUUCCUAAUUUAGGCACACGUGGCGGCUAGUGAUUGGCUUGCUAGCCGUACAAAAGGCUUGGGUAGUUUCCGCCCAAGCCGGAGGAGGGAGGAAGAGAGAGAGAUUCUGUGUGAAGAUCUCCAAGCGCUGUGGACCCUCGCAGACCCGAUGCGCCUCCCCUAAGCAGGCAAGAGAAGCAAUAGAACCGAGCCUACGGAGCUUUCGCUUCUCGCCUCUCCCCGUCACCGAGCGCAAUCCCUGGACGUAUCCCUUUCCUGUAAUUUCAGACCCCGCGGAGCCUAGCAAACUCCGGGGAAAACUUAUCGGACUCACGGAGCCUGAAUAACUCCGGGGAGAUUUUCGAACCCAACUUAACCGGACCCGUGGAGCCUAGCAAACUCCGUGGGAGCAAUCGUUUUGUCAGAAUUCUCCAACAAGGGUUCAAGCGGGAGCUGUGCCUGAAAACUUGACCAGCCUACACCGAUACCAUCUUUGGGUGCAACCCAGGCUGGACUUUAUGGUGGUUCCUUGGUUCCACCACACCAUCAUCAGCCAUCAGGUGGAGAGCCUGAAGCACAAGUAAGAAGGAAUGUUUAUGAAAAUGUACGUCCUAAUCCAUCAGAGUAUCUCCCUCAAUUGAACUGGGAUGUAGUCACCCAUGAAGACCCAAUGUUUAGCCUACAAGGAGAUGUUAAAGAAAAGAAGUGCUUUUGGUGAUCCUGUGCAUUGACGUGUCACUCAAGCAUUCAGCAAAGUAUUUGAACCAUGUGCUCACAGUCCGCUUGGCCGUGCUUCUCCGACACAAAAACCCAUUGGGAAAGAGCAGGGACUGGUUCUGGGCACCUUCCCUGGGAUUGUAGGGCAGUGUGAAAGAACUUGAAUAAAAGCUCUUCUGAUUCUUCCCUUCCCUCCCUGGUGCCAGGGGAGCAGGAAUCCUAGCCCCUGCGCCCCUUGCAGCCAUCCAGCUGGUCUGAACAGCUCUGCUUAUCAUGCCUUUGUCCAAAUCCCACUAUUACUAGUAUAUAGCUAAGUAAUUGAACUUUGUACUAUUUACAUAUUAUAUAAGUAAUUGUACUUAGCUAUCCAUAGACAGCUAAGUAUGUAUAGUUUGUAUAGUAAAUAUAUAUAGCUAAGUAAUUUUGUUUCAAACCUUACUAAGUGAACAAACCCCAAACACUGCACUUGACUUGAUAUAUAUAUAGUUUGAUAUUUUAUAUAUACACACACACACAUAUAGGUAUCAGUUAAACACAAUAUUUAAUUGAUUUAUGUAUAAUUUUAAACAAACUGGAAGCCUACCAGACCUCAAUCAUUAUAACAAAAUAAAUGCCAAAUAUCUA